UGUUUUACCGUCCCUUUUUCAUUUGACCUCACAAUGUCGUGGUAAUACUCGAACCUGGCUUCAAAGGACUAUGUUAUGUUGUACUGGAGAAAAGUAGGUAGCCUGGUGAUUAAGAGCCUUGUGUCAUGGUCUUAAAAGGAGGAAAAAUGAUUUUCACCACUAAGCAAUAUAUGCUUGUAUGGUUUGAAUUGUAUUGCUUAAUUGCUAUUUUACUAAUAACAGGAUAUGGUAGUUGGGGGGACCGAAACAGCCUCGAGUACGGUUGAGUUUGCCAUGGCAGAGAUGAUGAAUAAACCUGAAAUCAUGAAGAAAGUACAGACAGAAUUGGAGAAUGUAGUUGGAAAAAAUGCAAUAGUAGAAGAAUUUCACAUUCAGAAACUGCCUUACCUCUAUGCAGUGAUGAAAGAAGUCCUGCGCCUGCACCCGGUUCUUCCCCUUAUGGUGAAUCACAGCCCCAGUGUAUCAAGUGUUGUUGCCAAUUACAG
This 485-nucleotide long non-coding RNA is filed under the name Coffea arabica (coffee). RNAcentral's name for it is "long non-coding RNA (CARA_LNC005790)". Lineage: Eukaryota; Viridiplantae; Streptophyta; Magnoliopsida; Gentianales; Rubiaceae. The record is from RNAcentral.